UCCUAUGAUGGCAUGAAAUCUUUGAGAACUGAUUGUCAUAAAUUUGAUGACAAAAUCAAGCAAUUUUCUGAGGAC
Molecule: small nucleolar RNA, 75 nt
Organism: Impatiens glandulifera
Lineage: Eukaryota; Viridiplantae; Streptophyta; Magnoliopsida; Ericales; Balsaminaceae
Product: small nucleolar RNA R66
Exons: 1
Source: RefSeq, a predicted model, not a curated record